RNAcentral lists this ribosomal RNA (443 nucleotides) under uncultured bacterium. RNAcentral describes it as "partial 16S ribosomal RNA". It matches the Rfam family "Bacterial small subunit ribosomal RNA", at positions 338 to 795 of the family's 1533-position model. The record is from RNAcentral.
CCUACGGGUGGCAGCAGUGGGGGAUAUUGGACAAUGGGGGAAACCCUGAUCCAGCGACGCCGCGUGAGUGAAGAAGUAUUUCGGUAUGUAAAGCUCUAUCAGCAGGGAAGAAAGAAAUGACGGUACCUGAGUAAGAAGCCCCGGCUAACUACGUGCCAGCAGCCGCGGUAAUACGUAGGGGGCAAGCGUUAUCCGGAUUUACUGGGUGUAAAGGGAGCGUAGACGGUAUGGCAAGUCUGAAGUGAAAGCCCAGGGCUUAACCCUGGGACUGCUUUGGAAACUGUUAGACUAGAGUGCUGGAGAGGUAAGUGGAAUUCCUAGUGUAGCGGUGAAAUGCGUAGAUAUUAGGAGGAACACCAGGGGCGAAGGCGACUUACUGGACUGUAACUGACACUGAGGCACGAAAGCGUGGGGAGCAAACAGGAUUAGAUACCCGGGUAGUC